RNAcentral lists this long non-coding RNA (261 nucleotides) under Capsella rubella. RNAcentral's name for it is "long non-coding RNA (CRUB_LNC004268)". Lineage: Eukaryota; Viridiplantae; Streptophyta; Magnoliopsida; Brassicales; Brassicaceae. The record is from RNAcentral.
AAGAUUGUUUGGUUGAUUCGUUUUCUUGUGUGAUUGUUUCUAUGUCUUGGUGACUCUGGGCAACCCCUUGGAGAGUCGUCAUCGUCCUUGGAGUGUUUAGAAGUGGAGAUCCAGAGCGAGCAGAAGUGACUGGAGCAAUCUGAGAGCAUCAGUGUCGAUCGACACCAGUGGUCGGUGUCAAUCGUCACAAGUGAAAUGUGUCCCGAGGAUGAUAUCGAAUGGCGAUUGACACCAGUGUUGGAUGUCAAUUGACACUACUCG